This is a long non-coding RNA of Branchiostoma belcheri (Belcher's lancelet), 333 nucleotides long. RefSeq lists it as uncharacterized. Lineage: Eukaryota; Metazoa; Chordata; Leptocardii; Amphioxiformes; Branchiostomatidae. The transcript has 3 exons. The record is from RefSeq and is a predicted model, not a curated record.
UCAGAGGUCACGGGCCGGCUUCGGAGAGGAGAGAACUCUUGUCAUCUUGGUUGAGGUGUCAACGCUUUUAGGCUUCCAAGGGCCAACAUUUGUGACACCCUGGAUCUGAAUAUGGAGAAGAGCAACUGUUGCAGACGACAAAGAUGGUCAAGUGUCGACAGAUGACGGAACGGGGUAACUACUGAGUCUACAGACCCAGAGGCAGGUGGGGAGACCAUUUGAGUGCAGACCUGAGCACCAUGGGCCUCCAUGUAGCCACAGCCUGGCAGAGGGCACAGGACAGAACUGGCUGGAAGACAACUUGGCGAGGUGCUACGCUCUCAGGAGUGAUUG